This 355-nucleotide ribosomal RNA is filed under the name Onygenales sp. 6762-S5. RNAcentral's name for it is "eukaryotic LSU rRNA". The stretch from base 1 to 124 matches the Rfam family "5.8S ribosomal RNA", at positions 31 to 154 of the family's 154-position model. Lineage: Eukaryota; Fungi; Ascomycota; Eurotiomycetes; Onygenales. The record is from RNAcentral.
CAUCGAUGAAGAACGCAGCGAAAUGCGAUAAGUAAUGUGAAUUGCAGAAUUCCGUGAAUCAUCGAAUCUUUGAACGCACAUUGCGCCCUCUGGUAUUCCGGGGGGCAUGCCUGUCCGAGCGUCAUUGCAACCCUCAAGCACGGCUUGUGUGUUGGGCUUCUUGUCUCUAUUUUUUUUAGAGACAGGCCCCAAAAGCAGUGGCGGCGUCCUGACACAGGUGCCUGAGUGAAUGGGAACAAAACUAUAAGCUCAAUAGGCCCAGUCGGCGCCUGCCGGUUAACUUAUUAUUUAACGGUUGACCUCGGAUCAGGUAGGAAUACCCGCUGAACUUAAGCAUAUCAAUAAGGCGGAGGAA